RNAcentral lists this transfer RNA (134 nucleotides) under Coniochaeta sp. 2T2.1. RNAcentral's name for it is "tRNA-Ser". The record is from RNAcentral. Lineage: Eukaryota; Fungi; Ascomycota; Sordariomycetes; Coniochaetales; Coniochaetaceae.
AGCUGCGUGGCGCAGUGGAAGCGCGGUAAGUCACUAAAACUCACACAUUUAAUUCUGUGACCCAUUGUACUGACAAUCAAAUAAUAGCCGGGCUCAUAACCCGGAGGUCCUCCGAUCGAAACGGAGCGCAGCUA